CCUACGGGUGGCAGCAGUGGGGAAUAUUGCACAAUGGGCGCAAGCCUGAUGCAGCCAUGCCGCGUGUGUGAAGAAGGCCUUCGGGUUGUAAAGCACUUUCAGCGGGGAGGAAGGCGUUAAGGUUAAUAACCUUGGCGAUUGACGUUACCCGCAGAAGAAGCACCGGCUAACUCCGUGCCAGCAGCCGCGGUAAUACGGAGGGUGCAAGCGUUAAUCGGAAUUACUGGGCGUAAAGCGCACGCAGGCGGUCUGUCAAGUCGGAUGUGAAAUCCCCGGGCUCAACCUGGGAACUGCAUUCGAAACUGGCAGGCUAGAGGCUUGUAGAGGGGGGUAGAAUUCCAGGUGUAGCGGUGAAAUGCGUAGAGAUCGGGAGGAAUACCGGUGGCGAAGGCGGCCCCCUGGACAAAGACUGACGCUCAGGUGCGAAAGCGUGGGGAGCAAACAGGAUUAGAUACCCCGGUAGUC
This 465-nucleotide ribosomal RNA is filed under the name uncultured Klebsiella sp. Its description in RNAcentral is "bacterial SSU rRNA". It matches the Rfam family "Bacterial small subunit ribosomal RNA", at positions 338 to 795 of the family's 1533-position model. Lineage: Bacteria; Pseudomonadati; Pseudomonadota; Gammaproteobacteria; Enterobacterales; Enterobacteriaceae. The record is from RNAcentral.